AUUGAACGCUGGCGGCAGGCUUAACACAUGCAAGUCGAGCGGAGACUUCGGUCUUAGCGGCGAACGGGUGAGGAAUGCCUGGGAAUCUGCCUGUUAGUGGGGGAUAACGUUCCGAAAGGAACGCUAAUACCGCAUACGUCCUACGGGAGAAAGCAGGGGACCUUUCGGGCCUUGCGCUAACAGAUGAGCCCAGGUCGGAUUAGCUAGUUGGUGGGGUAAAGGCUCACCAAGGCGACGAUCCGUAGCUGGUCUGAGAGGAUGAUCAGCCACACUGGAACUGAGACACGGUCCAGACUCCUACGGGAGGCAGCAGUGGGGAAUAUUGGACAAUGGGCGAAGCCUGAUCCAGCCAUGCCGCGUGUGUGAAGAAGGCCUUCGGGUU
This 382-nucleotide ribosomal RNA is filed under the name uncultured bacterium. RNAcentral's name for it is "bacterial SSU rRNA". It matches the Rfam family "Bacterial small subunit ribosomal RNA", at positions 30 to 424 of the family's 1533-position model. The record is from RNAcentral.